This is a long non-coding RNA of Crotalus tigris (Tiger rattlesnake), 1086 nucleotides long. RefSeq lists it as uncharacterized. The record is from RefSeq and is a predicted model, not a curated record. NCBI's taxonomy places the organism in Eukaryota, Metazoa, Chordata, Lepidosauria, Squamata, Viperidae. The transcript is spliced from 3 exons.
CAGAGAAUUUAUCAUUGUCUCACCUUGGAAGGAUGAAGGCAGUUAAUGGGGAAGCUGGCCUGCUUCCCAUUAAGAAGAGUAUCUCAGCCUCUGCCUACCAGUAAGUACCUUUUUAGAGCAAUGCAGCAUCAAGAAGGUGAAAGAACAUUGACUCCCAAGCAUCAAAUGUGUGAGCUGCUUCUUAGCUAAUGUUGAAGUCCAAUACACAUGUUCCGAAUCACAUCAGCACACAACUCCUCUAUAGUACUACCAAUGUUCAACAAGAGGUCUAUGGAAGUAAAAAUUGGACAUUGGAAAAAGCAAAAUAGAAUGAGUAUUUCUGCUUUUUGAUAUUGGAAAAGUAUUGAUACAAACAAAUGAUCAUGGAACAAAUCAAUCCAGAGUUUUUACCUGAGGCACAAAUGACUAAACUCAAAUUAUCAUAUUUCGGAUACAUGUUUUUUGUGAAAUCCAUAACACUGGGAAAGAUGGGAGAGAAAAUAAGAGUGUGGCUAGCAGCAAGGUGGAUAGCCUCUGUUACAGUGGUACUGGAUGCAUUAUUGGAAGACCUGAAGGAUCUGCUAGGGGAGACUUCAUCUUGCAAAGGUCUAUCUAUGUGGUCACUUGAUGAUAUAAUCAAUCAAUCAAAAUAUUUGAUCUGAAAGACUGUCUAUAGUUUGCAUUUUUUUAAUCAAAAUGAAUGUGGUUCACCUGGACCUAAUCAGAUUUAGAUUUAAUCUUUCAUUGACUCGGUUCACUUAGCUAUAGUCAUGCUGAAAAAAAUACUUGUUCAAUGAGAAAUUUGCUUUUUCUGUUUUGCAGAGGCCACAAAAGGUGUAGCAGGGUUAUCUUUGGGUUACCAAAUGAAUAAGGAGCAGGGAUAAUUUCAAGCACCAAAUAGGUGGAUAGCAGUGGGAUUCAGCCAGUUUGCAUCAGUUUGGCAGAACCGAUAGCUAAUUUUUUUGUUGUCCAGGCCCAGAACGGACUUCCGGAAGUGGCAUCCACACAGAGAACCAGUUGUUCACAUAUUUGAAUUCCACCACUGGUGGACAGUACAGGAAAAGCGAACUUUAUCCAUGCAUGUCCCUUAUUUAUUUGUUUGUUUGU